This 497-nucleotide ribosomal RNA is filed under the name uncultured bacterium. Its description in RNAcentral is "partial 16S ribosomal RNA". It matches the Rfam family "Bacterial small subunit ribosomal RNA", at positions 28 to 507 of the family's 1533-position model. The record is from RNAcentral.
GAUGAACGCUGGCGGCGUGCCUAAUACAUGCAAGUCGAGCGAACAGACGAGGAGCUUGCUCCUCUUACGUUAGCGGCGAACGGGUGAGUAACACGUGGAGAACCUACCUAUAAGACUGGGAUAACUUCGGGAAACCAAAGCUAAUACCGGAUAAUAUCUUUAAACGCAAGGUUCAAGAUUGAAAGAUGGUAUUGCAUCACCUUAAAAAGAUAUCCCCGCCGCAUAAGCUAGUUGGUAAGGUAACGGCUAACAAAGGCAUCGAUCCUAAGCGAACCUAGGAGGGUAACCGGCCACACUGGACUUGGGAACCGGUCAAACCUCCUCCGGAGGCAGCCAGUAGGGAUUCUUCGGCAUUGGGCGAAGGCCUGCCGGGGCACCGCGGGGUAGGUGAUGAAGUUCUUCGGAUCGUAAAACUCUGUUAUUAGGGAGGACCAAAUGUGUAAGUAACUAUGCACGUCUUGACGGUACCUACUCAGAAAGCCACGGCUAACUACGUG